GAAUAUUUGAUGGUAUUAGUGUUCUUGUUAGUAUAUCUUGCAUUGAUGUAAAGGUUGAAGUAGGAUUCUAUCAUUGGUAUCGAGCCAGUCUUGAUCCCUCAAUCCCUUCUCUUUUGCCGAUUGAAUAGUGCAUCGACGAAAGAAGUCAUGGAAUCUCAUAAUCAUCUUGCUGCAAUUAACGACACUCACGGUGGGCUAAUCUAACGAUUUGACGCCAUGGAAACUCAUCAAGAUUAUUUUGAUUCUCGAUUCGAGAAACUAUUUUGUGAUUUUGUGGACAAAUGCAAUAUGGGUUCGCAUUCGCCGUACAUCAAAAUGGCAUCUCCUAUCUCUUUUUGUGAAAUCGAAUCAAGUCGUUCUCAAGCUUCAAUCUUUCCAUGAGGAAAAGAUUCGGGCCCGGGAGAAAGUAGAUGAGUUAUUCUCUCAGUAUCGUCCAAGAUACAAGCCUAAAAGUGAUCCUUGUUUGAUACCAAAAUUGGCGAAAUUCAAGAAGGUUCGCAAGAAAUACCACAACGACCAGCAACGCGAAGCCUCUGUACCAAUUCUUGGCUUCCAAUCAUUGCUACCAGCAACAAGGCUAUUUCUUGAUUCUAUUUUCAUUUAGGGUUCUGCAUUCUUUGUAUCUAAUGUGCAAAAGUCGAAUUGCACAAAUUAUGGAUACGAAAAGGUUGGUUCUGUCAAAGAAAGAUUCAACUCUCCUGAUUUUUCUAUAUCUGAUGGAAUUGUAUAGAUUUUCCAAUCCGUUUCGACGUGGGUUUCAUUCUUGAUGCAAAACAGAUGUUAAUUCCAGCAGAAGUAGUAGGCGUUCACUUGGGCCACAACAUGUUCGACGAAUUGCCGAACUCAACAAAUAAUAGUGUUCUUCAGUUAGGCUAUCAUAUGCCGAUUUCAAACUUGGGAGGUACACUUAUUAUUGGGCAUUUUACUUCCAAAUUUCAGGUCGUAGAUGUUCACGAUUCUAAAAUUCUUGUUUUUAAUGUUGAAUUCUUGCAAAAUGGUACUACGGAUCUUCGGGACAAUUGGUUGCUUCAAAUUUUGGUGAUAAAGAAAGUGAUGAAUCCAAGAUAAUGGUUGUAGUUUUUGUGGGUUUAUAUCAGUUUAUGAAGGCACAACCAACAAUUCUUGAGAAUGAAUACCAAAAAGAAUGGGUUGGAAUAUAUGCCCACCAUGUGUUUGUGGGAAUGCAACAAAAGGCCGACAUGGCUUCUUUGAAGCUUGGCUUCCAUGAAUUCAUUCAUGAUAAAUGCGGUACUAAGUUUCUCUCCAGUUUUGAGUCAAUGAAUUUAUGGGCAAGCUGUGAGGACUCAGGGUUCUGUGUUGAUAUCGAUCGUUCCAUGGGCUACUACUGCAAGAUAAUUAGAUUGUUCGAAAUGAUGAAAACUUCUAAUUUUACGGUGAAUUCAUUGGCUUAUGAGGUUCUGUUGUAGUUUUUAUGCAAGAACCUUAGAUUGGAUGAUGUGAUAAAGGUUUUAGAAGAGACACCGCCAAAUAAUGUCUUUGCACUUGUAUUAUAUGUGUUUUGUAAAUUAGGGAAAGUAGAUGACGCGAUGAAGUUCUUGGAAGAUAAGAAAAUCAUGGAAACUUCUGCCUGCAAUGUAAUGCUUCAAGGUUACUGCAGUACUGGAAAGUUUCUUAUGGCGGAAGAUUUACUUGUGAAAAUGUCUAAAAGAAAUGUGGCUGAUUGUAUUUCUUGGAAUAUUAUUAUUAGAUGGCUUUCCGAGAGUGCAAGGAUUAGGGAAGUGCUGGAACUUCUUGGUAGAAAUGUGAUUUCUUGUUCUCUUCCUGACGGUGACACAUACUCAGCUCUAGUCGUUUGCCAUUGCAAAAUGAGCAACUACAGAAAUGCUAUGGAUAUAUUUGACCAUAUUCAUGCCAAAAGCUGGGUUUUGGAUCAUACAUCUUACUGUGAGCUUGUUAAAGGCCUUUGCCUAGGGGAAAUGACUCUUGAGGCUACUGAAGUGUUCUGUUACAUGUCUAGUAAUAGAUGUUCAAUCGAGCCUUCCUCAUUCAAUAUGUUGAUCUACGGUUUGUGUGAGACGGGAAAGGUUGAUGAAGCAAUAAGGAUACAACAAUUGGCCUAUUAUUCUGGUACUUCUUCUACUAGUACAACUUACUCAACUAUUAUGCUUGGAUUGUCAAAAUUAGACAGGGUAAAAGAUCUGUGGGUAGUCCUCUAAAAAAUGCUAAUGAAGGGUUGGAGUCUUGAUUUGGAUGCAUAUUCCGUGCUCAUACAAAGCAUGAGUUUGCAGAAUCGAAUGAAAGAAUGCUUAUUGCUUUUCAAUAUGAUGGUCGAUAAGGGUAUUUAAGAUAAGGGUGGAGUCUCAAAAUUCAGGUAUAUGGUUACUUGAACAUUCAUUUUUCUUGUGCGAAUGCAUCUGGAGAUUUUACUGAAUGUAGCCAAGAUGGAAUAUUUGGGGUUGUGCUGUUGGUUGCAUAUUGUACUUUCAUAGUUGUAGCAGAUCAGGCUUUGCGUUUGAUACUCAUCUCAAUUGGUAAAACAAAUGGGAUUGUGGGAAAUACUGUGUUGUGCAAACCAUUGGGGUUGCCAAUUGAGAGGGCAGAUUCUUGUCAACCGAUAUGGCCGAUGUUGUUAACACACAAGUUUCCAAAUAAUACUAGGAGCAUGGUUGUUAAUUUUGUGUUUACUGCAGUGAUUGGUGCCUUGUUUGCUGAGAAAGAAAGGAAACAAAUUCAUAGGGCUUGUGUAGAGGUGGACUUUCUAUGUAGGUGCUCAGUUCCUGUGAGUAGUGUCAUUAUGCAUCUAUACUCUAGGUGUGGCGAUGAGCAUAAUGCCUUGAGGUUUUUCUUAAACCCAGAUUUGUGCGAAAUUACUAAACCAAAUAUUUCUUGGAUUUCUUUGCUUGCUGGAUACUUUGAGAGUAGAGGUACGAGUCAGGCUGUUCCAGUGGGUAUUGAGAUGUACGAAGUAGUGGUGUGUAUAGUUGCAUUGGGUAUCCUUAUGCAUGCUAGAAAUUCUGAUUGUAUGGUCAAUAUCAUUGCUCAAUUUUGGAGAGGGUAUAAUGUAGAGUUAAUGUUUUCAGCAGUGAGCUCUUGGUGGAAGCUCAUACUUAUGGUUUCAUUAGUUCAGUACAUAUGUUGUUGCUCGUUACAAAGGAAAAACAUAUCAGUCUUCGUACUACUUGUGAAAGCAUAUUGCUGCUGCUAUAUACUAUUGGCUUAUGUCGCUCAUUGCCUCUAAAUCAACCUAUAGUAGUUGGAUCUAUUGCCAAAUCAUAAUCAAAAGAAUGCUACUGGAAUUUUCAAAGCUAAACCUUGAGGACAAGGUUGAUUUCUAAGGGAGGGGUAAUGUUAGGAUGCUAAGUGGCAUCAUUUAGUUAGCCAGGUGUCAAUUGUUGAGUUGGAUUUCUUUAGCCUAUAACCAGCUAUAUAAGCUGAGGUAUGUGCAGAUGCAAAAAGGGGGAAUGAAUAUUUGAUGGUAUUAGUGUUCUUGUUAGUAUAUCUUGCAUUUGAGUAAAGGUUGAAGUGGGGUUCUAUCAUACUAAGAUUACAUCACCCCCUUUCCUUGCUAUAGAUAGAUAAAAAAGCCUACUGAGGAGUUGAGCUUGUGACUGCGGCAUCGUGUUUUAGGGUUCAUUCCUUUUUUUAUACAAAGAAAUCACGGUCGAGAUCAAAACUCACAGAAAAGACUUUUAGUUUCUCUCAAUCUCUCUCUGGUCUCUACCGUGUUCUUUGUAUAAAGAGAUGUACUGGAUCUGUCUCCAUAUAUUUUCAUUGGUAUUAUAUUAAUUGGUAUUUGAUGGGAAUUCUUUUAGGGGGUGUUUGUUUGGCCACCUUAAGUUUCACUGGACUGGACUACUUAGGUAGGAUUAUUAUUCUAUGUUUGGUGCAAGCCGGGAUUAAGUUUAAUGGGAUUUAGCUGGGCUUAGCGAGAACUUGCCUUCCCACUGCCUUCCUCCCCACCUCCCUCUCGUCUGUCCAGAAGAUCUCAAAGUCUGCAAGAAACGAUUCAAAUGAAUCUAAAAGUCCAAGUCUGCAAGACUUGAUUUGCAGGAUAAAGGGUUCUGGGUUGGGCACUUUGCGUUUUCUCUCGAAGGAUUACAACUACGGAGGGUUUCAAAAUAUUUGAUGGAAGGUUGAGAAGGAAUUUUUCUUUGAAAUACCAAAUUGAAGGAUUUGAUUUUUCUGGGAUAUUACAGCUUUUUAGCAAUUUGGAGUGGUUGAUCAAAUUGAAUGAUUUCAGUA
Long non-coding RNA from Malus domestica (apple), 4203 nucleotides. RefSeq lists it as uncharacterized. NCBI's taxonomy places the organism in Eukaryota, Viridiplantae, Streptophyta, Magnoliopsida, Rosales, Rosaceae. The record is from RefSeq and is a predicted model, not a curated record.